AUGGCUAGAGCUCUCCUCAUCUCACCUUCCUUCUUCAUCUUCUUCAUCUUUCUCAUUUUCUCUUCUGCCAAGAUCCCAGUUUUCGGAGAAGAAUAUAGCUAUGUCAAGCGUCUCAAUCCUAAGAAAAUGAAGAUGUUGAAGGAAAAGUUAAGUCAUUUUCGACUUUAUUGGCAUGAUAUUCUUAGUGGGUCUAAUCCAACCUCAAUUCCAGUAGUUAAACCGGUGAAUAACUCAUCAACAUUCUUUGGUUCAAUAAAUAUGAUCGAUAAUCCAUUAACCAUUGAGCCAAAAUUAAACUCAAAAAUGGUUGGAAAGGCCCAAGGGUUUUAUGCGUCUGCGGGACAAGAAAAUUUUGGAUUGUUGAUGGUUAUGAAUUUUGCAUUCAACGAUGACAAGUAUAAUGGUAGCACAUUUACUGUGAUAGGACGAAAUGAUGUUUUUUCUAAGGUGAGGGAAAUGGAGAUAGUUGGUGGCAGUGGGCUUUUCCGAUUUGCUACAGGUUAUGUUCAAGCAAAAACUUACAUGUUCGGUACCAAUGGAGAUGCCAUUGUCGAAUACAAUGCCUAUGUUUUACAUUAUUGAUAUUUUUCCUUUUUUUAACUUUUCAGUCGAGCUUUGUUCCACAGUGAUAGACUUGAAUUGUUGUGUGUUCCCACUGUAGCUAAGUGGGGUUCUCUAGUUUUGCUUAAUUUAAUUAAAUUAAGUUACUCUUACUUUACCUAAUUUAUUGUAAGCAUGCAAUAAUAAAAUAAAAUUUAAGUAUCACGUAUAGUUUGAUUUAGAAUUUAUUUGUUUAUUUAAAUUUUUUAGAGAAGUUACAAAAAUAGAAAAAAAAAAACACAUGUAAUUCAAAGAAAAUCAUAUUUGAAAAUUCUCGAUGAUAGUGAUAGAUCGUGUAGAGAGAAGAAAAAUAAGACCAUAUUCAAUUUUAUUUGUUUCUUAUGAUUUUCUUAAUUUUCUUAUGUUCCUCUAUUGUUUAAAAAACUAGUGAAAAUGAUUCUUUAUUUCACUUUGUUUUUUUAAAAAUGAAAAUAGAGAACAACAACUGAAUAAGGUUAUGAAUUUUUUAAAAACAAAUAUUUGUUUUUAAAAUAGAAAACUAUUUUUUAAAUCACAUGGUCAAACAUGUUAUAAUAGUUUAAAAUUUUGUUUUAAAAAAAUGGAAGUAUAUAUAUGAAAAAAAAAAAAUUACAGCUUGAAAGUGAUUUUUAAAGAUUAAGUACAGCAAAACAACAUUUUAUAUGGAAUUUAUUAGUAUUUUUAUUUUUAAAAUAAAAAAAUAGAAAUUCAAAUUUUUGUUUUUAAAAGUUUUAAAAUAGAAAACAAAAUUAUACCCAAAUAACACCUUUUAAGUUUGUAAUUUACUAAAAGUUCAUCAGUCAAGAUUCCUAAAACUCUAUUACGUCAUAGUCCCACACAACUCAAGAAAGGUUAUAUCCAUAUAUUCAAGAUGACCUCCUAAAUCUUGAUCUAUAUGCAUGGAGGUAUAAAUUUUUUAUAAAUAAUUUUUUAUUUUUAAAAACAAAAACCUAUUUUUAAAUCACACAAUCAAACAGAUUGGAAGCCUUCAAUCCUUAAUAUCUUUUAACUUAAAAUCUUACCAUUAGAUAACAUUGCUUUAGAAUUUAUAAAUCAUGUAUUAUAAGUAAACUAAAAUCAUAUUAUUGUUGAUAGUAAUGAGAUACACUUUAUAUCUUAUUUGAUAAAGGUUAAGAAACCAUAUACAAAUUAUUAAUUAAUUAAUAAUUUAUUAAUGUAACCUUAUCAUUAUACAAAUAAAAUAUUUCUAUUAUUUCCAUUUUCAAAAUUUAAAACUCAAAGAAGUCAAAAGAAAAUUUCUUAAUUUUUCAACUAAUAAAAUCCCUUUUAUAAAAAAAAGAAAAAAAGAAAAAGAAAGUCAACAAAUCUUGAAAUUUCAAAAUUUUAAGAUAUUAAUGUACCAGUUAUUAAGUAGAUCGAGUAUAUUUAGUAGUGAUUCUAUUUGAAGUACUUUAGUAAAAGUGUUUUUUCUAAAAAUGUUUUUAGAAGAAUCGUCCAUUAAUUUCUUUUUUAAGAAACAUUAUAAAUAAUUUGUCAAUUUUUUAAAAAUAUUUUCUAAUUUUAAAUGCCAAAAUAUUUUAAAAUAUAGGGAAAAAUAUAUUUCCAUAUACCUAUAUGAAAAAAACCACAAAAUAAAAAUUUAAGUUUAUAAAAUAUAAAUUUCAAGCACUUAUAUAAAAAUAAUUAGUAUUUCACAUAUUUUCUUUAUCAAAUAUAUUACAUUUGAUCACGUAGAAUAUACCUUUUAAUGAUAUGAGUGUAUUAAAUUUGAAUUAUUUUUAUUUUGUUUUUAUUUUAUAAUUAUUUUUAUAUUAGCUUGUGAAAACCUUUUUUUUUUGUAAGUUAGAAGGAGUUUCUCUCCAUCGAAACACGCAGUGUCUUUUUCCCUUUUCUUGUAAACCCUAGAAAACUCUAAACCCUAAAUUCGGUGCUCAGAAAGACUUGGGCAUGGAAGAAGAGAAUGAAAGUAAAGUCAAUUCCUUUAUUUUUAAAUCCUCAGUUCACUUUUGCUUCCAUUGGGUGGGUGGGUGGGAUACCUGGAAAUUGUAUCAGACCUACCGUCACUCACAAGUCUGAAUUAAAAUGACAAUUUUAUCCAAUAGAAUGGGUUUUGGGGCGACUUUGAUUGCGGGAGGCCUCAUUUUCUAGAAAAGGUUGGCCCAACCACACCAUCCUCUUUCCAUGUUUUUUCUCAACAAACGCGUGCCCAAGUCAAUAAGACUUGCAAAUCACCCAAAACCACCAUAUGCCCAAGGCACCAAACCCCAUAAGAUGGAGGGGCAUUUUUGUCAUUCUCGUUAGAAAUAUUCCCGUUGUGAUGGGUCGGUGCGAUUGGCAAUUAUAACAUCUUUGAAUUUGGAAAAGUGGGCUUUAAUUGUGUGGAAAAUGAACAAUUCAAUAAUUUAUAUAUAUAUCCUAGGUUUUGUGAGCAAAGGGUGUGCAUUGUGGCCAUGGCUAGAGCUCUCCUCAUCUCACCUCCCUACUUCAUCUUCCUUAUCUUUCUCAUUUUCUCUUAUGCCACAAUCCCAACUUUUGGAGAAGAAUAUAGCUAUGUCAAGCGUGUCAAUCCUAAGAAAAUGAAGAUAUUGAAGGAAAAGUUAAGUCAUUUUCGACUUUACUGGCACGACAUUGUUAGCGGGUCUAAUCCAACCUCAAUUCAAGUGGUUAAACCAGUGAAUAACUCGUCAACAUUCUUUGGUUCAAUAAAUAUGAUUGAUAAUCCGUUAACCAUUGGACCAAAGUUGAGCUCAAAACUGGUUGGAAAGGCUCAAGGGUUUUAUUCAUCUGCAGGACAAGAAGAAUUUGGAUUAUUGAUGGUUAUGAAUUUUGUAUUCAUCGAUGGCAAGUAUAAUGGUAGCACAUUCACUGUGUUAGGACGAAACAAAGUUCUUUCUAAGGUGAGAGAGAUGGAGGUGAUCGGUGGCAGUGGAAUUUUUCGAUUUGCUAAAGGUUAUGUUCAAGCAAAAACUUACAUGUUCAAUUCCACGGGGGACGCUACUGUUGAGUAUAAUGCCUAUGUCAAACAUUAUUGAUUUUUUUUUCUUUUUUUAGUAUUUUAAUGGAGCUUUGGUCCAUAGUGGUGAUAGACUUGAAUUAUUGUGUGUUCCCACCAUAGCUAAGUGGGGUUCUAUAGUUUUGCUUAAUUUAAUUAAAUUAUGUUGCUCUUUCUUUACCUAAUUUAAGGUAAGUAUGCAGAAAUAAAAUAAAAUUUAAGUAUCAAGUAUAGUUUGAUUUGAAAUUUAUUUGCUUAAUUAAAAAUUUUAGAGAAGUUAAAAAAAAACACAUGUAAUUCUAAGAAAAUCAUAUUUGAAGAUUUUCGAUUAUACUAUUAGAUCGUGUUAAGAAAAUAAGAAUAAUAUUAUGUUCAAUUUUAUUUGUUUCUUAUAGUUUCCUUAAUUUCCUCAUGUUCCCCGUCCUCUAUUUUAAAAGCUAGUAAAAACAACUUUUACUUUUCUAUUCCAUUUUAUUUAAAAUAAAAAAUAAAAAUAGAAAAUAACGGCCACUGUUAUAGUUUUUUUAAAAGUAAGUUUUUGUUUUUGAAACAAAAAAAAAAAACUAUUUUUUAAUCUUGCCAAACAUGAUGUGUUUUAAAUCCGUUUAAAAAAAAUCGAAGUAUAUAAAAAAAAAAAUUUACUACUUGAAAGUGAUUUUUAAAGAUUAAGUACAAGAAUUUAAUAUUUUAUAUUUUUAUUUUUACUUUAAAAACAAAAAUAGGAAAUGUAUCUAAAUAUGAAGUAAUUUUUUUUUUACUUUAUUGCAUUUCACAAAUAUUAUUCCCAAAUUAUAAAAAUCUCUUUGAAAAUGUUAAUUUUUUUUAAAAAAAAAUUAAAAAUAGAAAACAAAAUUACACCCAAAUAACACCUUAAAUUUGUAAUCUACUAAAAGGUCAAAAUUCCUAGAACACUAUUAGAUCAUGGUCCAAUCCAAUUUAAGAAAGACCAAAUACAUAUAUUAAAGAUAGUUUCUUGUGUUUGACACUAAUUCUGUAAAGUGCUUCUAGCUAAAAAUAAAUAGAUGUUUAGUAAAAUUUAGGAAACACUUUUAAAAAUUUGAUAAGUUACUUUCAAUGUCAAAAAUCACUUACAGUAUUUUUUAGAAAAACAUUAGAUAGUUGAUUAUUCUAAAAACACUCAUAACGACAAUAUUUUCAAUAAAAAACACUUCGAGUUGAAACAUUACUAAAUACACUUUAAAUCUUGAACUUUAUGCGUGGAGGUAUGAAUUAUAAUUUUUUUUCCUCCACCUUUAAUUAUGGUAUGAUUUUCAUGAAAUUGUAGGUUUUAGACCUAGCUUAUUCACUAAAACCAUUAUAUAACAUAUGGCAUAGUUUUAUUUUCAUUUUGUACAUGGACUAUUAGCCUUUAAUGCUUCAUAUCCUCUAACUUAAAAAUCUUAAUAUAGAUAACAAUCCCAUGUUAGAAAAAUAUAAAUUAGGCCUUACAAGUAAGCUAGAAUCAUAUUGUUGUUUAUUGUAUAUGAGAUACACUUAAUAUCUUAUCUAGAUGUGGCUAAAUCAUAUGCAAAAUAUUUGUCAAUUCAACAAGAAAAAAAAAUAUAACUAAGUUUAAAAUAAGCUCACUAUACUUCAAUGUAGAAAAUUGAUAUUUGCAUUUAUUUAAGCCAAUAUCCAACCUAGGUUGCUUUGAAGUAGAGUUAAAUCCAUACAACGAGUAUGUAAUUCUCCUACAAAAUAGGAAGGAAGAGUAGAAGAGUUUAUGGAUCUUCCAUUUUCUAACUUAGCUAUCUGUAGAGACAUGAUCUUAUAGAGUUAUUUGUUGCAUAUGCUAAGAUGAGAGCAAAUUGAUAGUGGGUUCAUUGCACUUAUGAAAUUUAAAUUCUUGAACACUUGAGAUUAACAAAUUCCUUACAUUAUUAAAAAUAAAUUUUAAACUAGAUUAAUUGUAGAUAAUGAAAAAUUAAGACUUUUGAUACCUUUAGACUACGUUUGACUCGUGUACCAAACACCUUUUAAAAGAAUUUUUAGAAAAAUCAUUUAUCAAUUACUUUUUUAGGAGUCAUUUUUCAAUUUUUUAAAAAAUACUUUCAAAUUUUAUCAAACACGCAAUCUUCAAAAAAAUAUGUUGUUUAAACUAAAAAUAUUUUCUAAAAUUACCAAAAAAGGGGCUUUUAAUAUAUUUACUAGUUCCCACAAAAUAAUGGAGUUCUCUCCCCUUUUUGCCCUAAAAAUGAUAAAGAAUAUAAAGUACGAAAUUUAAAUCGUGGGAGAGAUAAAAAGAUAUCCAUAUAUACCAGACCUACAUUCGCUCACAUGUUUGAAUGGUAAAAUGACAAUUUUAUUCAAUAGGACGAAGGGUUUCGGCCCAGCACAAUAAGCCUUAGGGCCCACUUUGAUGGCGGCACAAUAAACCUUAGGGCCAACUUUGAUGGCGGCUGCCGUGGCGGAGCCAGACUCCUUUGUUAUGGGGGAGGGAUCAAGAGAAUUAUUAAUAUAUUAUAGUUAAGGUAAUUAAUGAUAUUUAUUAUUAUUAUUAUUAAAAUUAAAUAAUUUUAAAUAUUGAUUAUAAAAAUGUAUAAAAUUAAACCACCAUAGUACUAAGAAUAUUUAUAUAUAUAUAUAAAAUUACCAAGAACAUUUAAAGAAAAAUUUCAAAAGAAAUAAAAAUUAGAAAGAAAAAUCAUUAAAUUUUUUUUUAAUAAUUUUAAUUAUUUUGUAGCAAAACCCAUAAAAGUUACUUUAAAGAAUUUAAUAAUUUCUUUAUAAAUUUCACCAUUUUUCAUGAAAAAUGUGUUUUUUAGGUCUGACUAUCUUAUUUACACUUUAAUCUCAUUCUUUAUACUUAUAUCCGAAAACCUAAAUUUUUCUAUAUACUUUUAGAAGUGAGGAUUAAAAUUUUCAUAAAUACCAAAAUUAAUACCUUAAUCUUUACAAGAUAGUUGAAAGUAAAAUCUUUUAAUUAAAAUUUAUGUUUCAUAUAAUAAUAAUAAUUCAUUACGAAAAUGGUAGUAGUUUAAAAGUAUUAUUUUUUAUGAUUUAAUUAAAUCCAAUAAAAAAUAAUUAUAAAAAGAGAAAAAGAUUGAAUAAGCAAGAAGAAAGAAAUGUCAAUAUUAAAUAAGAUUUUUUUUAUUAUUGUUCAAUUUUAAUAUUUUAUUAGUAAUUAAUGGUUAAUAUUGUUUUUUUUGGUAAUAAUAUUUAAUUGUUAUUAUUUUGAAAACUAAAUUUAUAUUCUUUUUAGAGGGGGUAAUUUUCUAUUUUGGUUUUUAUUUUCCUAAAAAAGUUUAUCAUAUAAGGGAAUUUUUUGUUUCUAGAAAAUUGAGGGGGGACACAUGGUCCUCUGAGCCUUACUUGGCUCCGCCAGUGGCAGCAGGACUCAUGUCCUGGACAAAGUUAGGCCCAACGACUCAGGUCUUUCCAUGUUUUGCUUCUUUCCAGUCAAAAAAUGCGUGCCAUUACAGGUCGAUAAGACUCGGAAAUUACGCCCAAAGCACCAAACCCCAUAAGAUGGAGGGGCGUUUUGGUCAUUCACGUUAGAUAUUUUCCCCACUGUGAUGUGUCUUUGAGCGGUGGGCAAAUAUGACUUGGUCUUUGCGCGGUUGGAAGCUUUAUAUGUCUUGGAAUCUGGAAAAGUCUAUUUUAUCGUAUGGAAAAUGAACCAUUCGAUAUACAUAUAUAUAGCCUAGGUUCUUGUGAGCAAAGGCAUAUAUCCUAGGUUUUGUGAGCAAAGGGUGUGCAUUGUAACCAUGGCUAAAGCUCUCCUCGUUUCACCUUCCUACUUCAUCUUCUUCAUCUUCCUCAUUUUCUCUUCUACCACAAUCCCAGUUUUCGGAGAAGAAUACAGCUAUGUUCAAAGUGUCAAUCCUAAGAAAAUGAAAAUGCUGAGGGAAAAGGUAAGUCAUUUUAAACUUUAUUGGCAUGAUCUUGUUAGCGGGUCUAAUGCAACCUCAAUUACAGUGAUUAAAGCAGUGAAUAACACAACACCAUAUUUUGGUAUGAUAAAUAUAAUUGAUAACCCGUUAACCGUUGGGCCUAAUUUGAGCUCAAAAACAGUUGGAAAGGCCCAAGGGCUUUAUGCAUCUACGGGACAAAAAGAUGUUGAAAUAUUGAUGGUUAUGAAUUUUGCAUUCACUGAUGGGAAGUACAAUGGUAGCACAUUCACUGUAUUAGGACGAAACAAUGUUCCUGCUAAGGUAAGGGAGAUGCCAAUAAUCGGUGGCAGUGGGCUUUUCCGAUUUGCUAGAGGUUAUGUUCUAGCAACAACUUAUGAGCUCAGCAACACUGGAGAUGCCAAUAUUGAAUACAAUGCCUAUGUAAUACAUUAUUAAUGUGUGUGUGUGUGUGUUUUUUUUUUUCUAAUUUUUCUAUGGAGCUUUGGUCCACAAUAGUGAUAUACUUGAAUAAUCGUAUGCUCCCAACGUUAACUAAGUGGGAUUCUCUAGUUUUGUUUAGUUUGAAUAAAUUAGGUGGUUUUUACUUCACCUAAUUGAAUGUAAGCAUACAAUAAUAAAAUAAAAUGCUUAUUUACAUGGAUUAAUUAUUUUCUUGAAAUUUGUUAAACUAUACCUUAUUCUAAAAAUCAACAUUCAAAACUGGAUCGGAUAUUGAAUCGAAAAAAUUACCAAUUCACAAUUCACAAAUCGGACCGAUGGUCCAACCAUGAUCAAACCGUCAUAAAUAUAUAUAUUUUAUAUUUUAUUUAAAUUAAAUAAUAUUUAUAAUAUUAUUUAUUUAUUAUUAUAUAAAUGUAUUAAUGGUUUAAAUUUAUUAAACAAAAUAUAUAUAAUAUUUAAAUAUGAAAUAUAUUCAAAAUCGUAAAUACAAAAAAAGUCGUAAUUAAAUAUGAAAACAAAUUGAAAAUGAAAAAAAAACACGUGAUUUAUAUAUAUAUAUAUAUAUAUAUAUAUAUAUAUAUAUAUAUAUAUAUAUAUUAUUUUUUGAAAUAGGCUAUGUACUUAUUUUCUGUUAAAAAUAAAAAGGAUGCAGCAUAGUGGAGUAGUAAUGCUCGUUAUGAUAUUCGUCACCGAUUAUCGGUCGGUAUUUGUCGGUAAAUUUACCGAUUUUUCUGGAAAUUUCCCGAUAUUUCCUACCAGUCCAGCCCGCGCACAGGAUACAAAAUCUGUCCAAUUUUUUUUUUAAAAAAAACAUAAGGCGUUAUUUGGUAAUCUGAUCAUGAUUUGCAGGCAAAGGUUGUGUUUUUCCGCCUGGCUCAAAAAUUGUGGAUUUAGGGUUCGUGAAAUUUAAAUCGAAUGGCACAAAAGCAAAGAGACACCUUAGAACAGAUCCAGAAAACACAGGGAGCAAAAAAAAAUUUUGGUUUUCCUUGGGGGUUUUGCAUGGAUUUUCUCAGAAAUCAAACGAGGAUGAAUUUUCCCGGAAAUCGAAUGAGGGGUGGAUUUUCUUGGGAAUCAAACGGGGGUUGCAAAAAAAAAAAAAUAAUAACAUGAUUAGAUUAGUACCUGCAAGGAUUGAGAGUGGCAGAGGAAAAUAGGGCCUUCUCAGGGAUUCUCUCGUCUGGAGGGCAACUUCAGAAAAGGGCUUCUUGAUGCCCGAGUGAGAAAGAAGCAUAUCAAGUGAGCAAUUUUCCGUGGGUGGCCCUUUUUAUUUUUAGAUUUAGUAGAGAUAAAAUAAAAAAAAAAAAAAAAAAAAAAAGGAAGCAUAUCAAGUGAGCAAUUUUCCUCUCCCUAUAUAAAUAAUUAUUAAUUAUCCAUCUUUAUUUUGAUUAAAUCACUACCAUGGAUUAAAAUUUUGGUUUUUAUCGAUCAUAUUUUAUGAAUUAAAAUUAAUUUGAUAAGAUAAAUUAUUAAUAAUUUUAAUUAUUUAAAUAAAUUAAUAUUAAUAAAAAAAAGUUGUUAUCAUAUUUUUAAUAAAAUUUUAGAAAUUAAAUCUCAAAUAAAAUAUUUUAUAUAAAUUAUUUUAAUUUUUCAUUUAAAAUGUAAUAAAACAUGUUUUAAUAAAAGUAUUUUAAAAUAAAUAUUAUCAUCAACAAAAUGGCUCUCUUCGUCUAAUAAUAUGAUAGAAUUACAUCAAUAUUCAUUUUGAUACUAUGACUAUUGCAAUGUCAUAUGUAUUAUAUUUAUGUAUAAAUUGUUUUUAUUUAAUAAAAUCAAAUAUUUUUUAACUCAAUUCUAAUUUUAUACACUUCCAAAAUUCAUAUUUAUUACUCUUAAAAUUCAAAUAUCAAAUUUAUCGAUAUAUCUCUAUCUACUGAUAUAUAUAUAUUUUUAUCAUAUUUAUGUCAAUUAUACUUACAAAAUGACUUUAAAAUAUGUGUAUUUUCUUUUUCUUUUUUCUUUUUUAUUUAUCAUUUUUUAGAGUUUUUGCAAGCAUUCCCAUAAAUUUUAAAUAAUUUCCACUUCACCGAUAUUUGUGAAAAAAAAUAUUUACCGAUAUUUUUAAUAUAUUCGCAAAAUCGAAGUAUCGAUAUUUUCAUCAUUGACCUAAUCCCACAUCGGAAGUAAGAGGAAAAAUAAAGUGCUUUAUAAACCUCUUCCCAUGUAACACAAGUUGGGUAAUCAAGUCAAGUGGUUGUUGGGCCUUAUGGCACAACCCCUGAUUAGGGGUCCAUUUUGCAAGAUGGGUGUGGGCUGUCAAUGUUGAGUCUGGGAGAGGAUAUAGGCCAUUUUGCCCAAAAAAAAAGGGUAGGCAAACAAUGUUGGCCGAAAAAAAUAAAAGUUGGGGUGUUGAACAUUGAUAACCGACCUAAAAGGAGGAAUCGGACAAGAAAGGUCAUCGAUUGACGGCGAUUUUUAAAAUAUUGCUAAAAAUAAUAAUAAUAAUAAUAAUAAAUUGGAGAGAAGUAGAUUUCAAAGCUCAUAUCAAUAAAGUUGAAGUAUAUCACUUUUCUAUUCAACUUAAGCUAGUUUUUAUGGGUUGAUUUGAUAUGUUUGAAUUAUCAUACAUAUGGCUUUUGAAAAUAAGGCUAACUGGGUGGACCUACCUUGACUUUGUUUACCAAGAAUGACAUAUUUCUUUGAUUUCACGUUACUCAACUUAUCUUGACCAAACUAAAACAUAUUCAACUUUGAAAUUUCACUAGUUUUUAGUCAUAUGUAAUGAUAAUGAAGUUAGAAAAUGCUAAAAAAAUUGAGUAGCAUUCUCAUUUACAAAAAUGCUUUUUAGAAAUGUUUUGAUAAAAAAUUUAUUUAGCUUGACGUGAUACAUAAGUUGACUUUUUCUUUUAUUUCACUUAAUAUAUGGUUUAAUUGAACAUUUUUCAAAAGAAGAUAUGAUUCUUAAACAACAACCUUUUCCCAUUAUUUACAAAUUCUACAAGGUCCAUGUUGGGAAUUGUCCCAAAUUCCUAAUUAGUAAAUAUUCCUUUUUGUAAAGAAUAUUAUAUAGAAUAUUUCUAGGUUGAUAUAUUAUUGUAAUAUUAGACUUCCUUAUAGAAUAAGGAAGGUUGUAGGAAAUAUCUCUAUAAAUAUUCUAGGUCAUGAGGGGAAAAAGUUAUGAGAUGGAGAUGGGCCUAUAGAGACUAUACGAGGUGGAUAGAGAUGUGAGGAAGAACGGGAGGUACCUGGUGGAGCGAGAGGGCUCGUAGUAAGGUAUGGAUACAAGGAGUGGGGAAACAUGGGAUGUUUCGGGAACCCAAUAGUUGUAUCUGGUUCUAUCCUCUGUAAUAUUCUCUAUUGUAUAGUGAAAUUAUUCUCUCUCAUCCGUGGACGUAGGCAUGGUUGGCCGAACCACGUUAAAACCUCGUAUGUGUGAUUGUUUUAUCUUUGUGUUAUUGAACUAACAUUGUUGGCAUCAAAGCUUUCGUUGGCACUACAGUCCAUAGCUAGGGUUUGAAUCAAAAUGGGCUAAAAAUUAAUGUCAUCUCAAUUUUGCUUCAUUUUUGGGACAAGCAAUCAUGACAAUCUUGAAUGGAGUUCAUGUGUCUAACAUAUCAACGUCAGAAGAAAAAUAACUAUAAAAAGAACAAGCUUCUAAUAAUUUUUAUAUCUUAUAUACAAAUUAUUAUUAUUAUUUUAUAAUUUUUAAAAAAUAUAUGAAAUACAUUCAAAUGGACACUUAAUUAUAAAUAAAUGAUAACUAUUCUACCAUUUCUCUAAUACAAAAAAAAAAAAAAAAAGGCGUUUGAAUCUUUUUAAAUGAAUUUAGCAUUCACAAAGCUUUAAAUCAUUAUUUUUUCUACUUGAUUGUGUAAUAGUAGAUGAUGAAAAAUUAACAAUAAAUGAUUAAUUAUCAUCAUAAGUUUAAACUUUAUCAAUUGUCCUUCUAUUAAAGCAAGGUGACAAAUUGAAUGUGAUUGAGGUUGUGAGACCCAUUAAUGUAGAGAGGAAUUCAAAAUCCUAAUAAAAAUGUAUUUCAAUUAAUAAUGAGUUUUUAAUUUAUAUUCUCAUUUUUAAUAAUUAAUUCACAUAAAAUAACAAAUUAAAAGUGAAAUGGGUUUUUCAAUUCAAAUUUUUUUUCAAUGUUUCAAUGACCGAAACAAUUCUAAUUUUUUUUUUUAAAUUUAAAAACAAGGUGUUGAGUAAAUUAACUUAAUUACCUAAUUUAAAUUAUUAAAUAAAUUAAAUAUAUUUAAUAAAAUAAUUUAAUAUUAAAAUUAUUUUUAAUUUUUACCUCUUUUUUCUCUUAAAAUAAUUAACAUAUAUGUCAGACCUACUUUGGCUCACAAGUUUGAAUGGUAAAAUGAUAAUAGGAUGAAGGGUUUUGGCCCACCACAAUAAACCUUAGGGCCCACUUUGAUUGCGGCUUGCCAACGCGGAACCAUAUUGUGGACCCCGCAUUUCGGCUCAUACGUUCCCCACUCGAUGGCGAGCUCGAUUUUUAUUUGAAAAUUUGAUUUUUUAUUUGAUUAAGAAAAUUGACUUGGAGUCGCCACUUAUUUUUGUUUUAUUUUAAAAGGGUAAACAAAAUAAGAAAGAAAAACCCUAAGUGUGACUCCUUAUUUUGGAAAAGGCGGUCUGUGAAAAACCGGAUCGGGUUCGGGGGUCAGGUUACUUAUCGGGAAGGUACGGUAAACACCGUAACACCCCUUUAAGUCCCUAAAGUCGGGUCUCUACUAAUAAAAUGAAGCAAUCAUGACAAUUGAUGAGAUAAUCAAUGAAUACUCAGAGUGAUCAUGCACAUGUGAGAAUCUAAACAUGCGUACAGAAAAUGACCCAAGCGGGUGUGGAUGCGUACCUGGGCAGUGAUCCAUAAAGCGCUAUCAAGAAGUGAGAUUAGUGCACAACUAAAGAAUAGUCACAUGCAUAUCAUAGAGCAGAAUAAAUCAUGUAUGGCAACCGAAUCAACCAAACAAUCCAUCAAUCAUAAAAUCUCAUAUGUUGGGCCCCCACCAAAGCCCAUUUCUAUUUUUGCAUGAAUUCAUCUCAUAAAUUCCAUUGUUUGGAAUUACGAAAAAUUCGUUCAUGCUUAUUAAAAAUAAGAGGAGCAGAAGAUUAUUUGAAAACCAGAAUGAAAUUAAGUUAUUUGAGAGAAAAUUGGAUUUUUGAAAUUCAUUUGAAAAAUUGGAGUCUCGAAAGUUAUUUAAAGAAAAUUGGGACUUUAGAAAUUAAAUUUUGAAAGAAAUUAGAAUUGGAAAUUAUUUAAGAAUUAGAAAUCAUGAAAAUUAAAUUACAUAAAUUGGAAUUUUGGAAAUUAUUUGAAGGUGGAAUUUUUCUAAAGAUAAAUAACUAAAAUGAUGAUGAUAAUAACAUUAAUAACAAUAAAUAAAUAAAUAAAUAAGUGGAAUAAUAAUAAUAAUAAUAAUGAAAACAAUAAUUAAAUAGAUGAACGUAAAUAGUGAAUUUUUUGAAAUUGGAAAUUAAAUUUGGAAAUUGGAAAAUUGGAAUUUCAGAGAUUGGGAAUUUAAUUUGGAAAUCGGAAUUUUUAAAGGAUUAUUUAAAGAUGAAAAUUUGUAAGAUAAAAUUAUUUGGGUGCUAGAUUUCCAUAAAUCAACUUUUAAAAUUUGAGGGCUUUGGAAAUGGGCCAAGGGUGAUAACCAAGCAAAUGGGAGCAUUUAGGAAUGGCCAAGGUGGAGAGAAAAUUUAAAAUGAUGCUCAUGGGCCUGGGCUUCAAAAUGCACUUUGAGAUGACCCUAAAAUGGAGAAAGGCCUUCAAAAUGCACUCACGGGCCUUGGGCUUCUCCAAUCCAUUGUGCAAGAAAAUAAGUUUAGUGGGCUUUGGAAGUGGGCCAAGAAAGGUGGCCAUGCAAAGGUGGGUUGAUGGGUAUUUGGAAAAUGGGUAUGUGGUGUAGAGAGAUAACCGGGUAGGGAGUAGAAAGUGAGUGAGUUAGUGAGAAAAUGAGGGUUGGUAGUGGUGGUGGUGUAGAGAGAGAAAACAGUGCAUGAAGGGUAUGUGGUGUAGAGAGAGAAAGGUGGUAAGAAGAAGAAAAAUGGGUAAGUGGAGGAUAGUUAUGCAUGGGAGGGUGGUGAUAUACAUGAGGGCAUGGAGGAUACGGGUAUGGAGGUUAGCAUGGGUAUGUGUUGAUGAAUGGCAACCAUGGGGGGUGGCCAUGCAUGCACGAUUCCCAUGCAUGUAGGUGGGUGGCUUUGGGAUUCCUAUGGGGAUGAGCAUGGCAUGGGUAUGGUGGGCAGCCGGGUAUGAAAAGGGAUGGUUUGCAUGGGUAUGAGGGGUGAUGGCUAUGGGUAUGGUGGGCAGCCGGGUAUGAAAAGGGAUGGUUUGCAUGGGUAUGAGGGGUGAUGGCUAUGGGUGCAUGCAUGGGAUGAGUGAUAUGGAACGAGCUAGUGAGAGAAAGGGUGAUGGGAAGGAAAAUGGGUAUGAAACAAUGGGUUUGAUGGCUAUGGGUGCAUGCAUGGGAUGAGUGACAUGGAACGAGCUAGUGAGAGAAAGGUGGCGACAUGCAUGGGUAAGGUGGGCAUAGAAGGGUGGUGGCAUGCAUGGUUCCAUGCAUGGCUUCAUGCAUGUGGAUAGGAAGUGGGCAUGAAGAACGUGGUGUAGAGAGAGAAAGGUGGCGACAUGCAUGGGGGGAAUAUGCACCGAAUAGUGAGAGGGAAUGGGUUUGGUGACGUUCAAGAAGAAAUGGAGGUGUGUAUGAGAGCUAUGGAUGGGUAUGAGAGCAAUGGGAAUGCAUGAGGGAUAGGUUGAUGGGCAUGGUGGAUGGCAAUGGGGAAACGGGCAGUGGGUUUCAUGCGCACAAGGAGUGAGAAAAGGUGGUGGCGGGUAGCAAAACAGUUCAAACGAGACAACAACAAUUAACAUCUCCACAUAGAGCAAAAUGAAGCAACAAAACUUCUCCAGGUUAAAACCAAUACUAAGAGGGAUCAUGAAUGAAACGAUCAGCAUGCAUACGAAGAAACCAGAAAUUGAUGUUACUCAUAUAUAAAUCUUGUUAUUCCUAAACAAGCAUAAAAGCGGAACUCGAACAACUCUAGGAGAAAGAGAAAACAGUAGUGGUAAAAAAAUAAAGCAAAGGAUACAUGAUGAGCUUACCUGGAUGCUCCCUCGAGCAAAAAUAUUUGGAUCUCACAAAACCUCCACCUUUGUUUAGCCUCCUCUCCGAGAAAAAGAAACUCCUCUAGCCUGCGUCCCCCUCCCCAGCUCCCAGAACCCCCUUUUCAUUCCUCUGUUGGUGUCUUCUUCAGCAAGCCAACCCUCCAUUUCCAGUUCAUCACGUCAGCAAGCAUGGGCUUGCAACCACUCUCCUCGCUGCCCACGUCUCUUGCCGUGUCUAUGAAGUUGUUCCCUCUUUAGAAAAGGGGUCCCCCCAUCCUACCAAAAAAAAGAAAAACACCCUUCUCUCGGGUGGUGGCAGCCAAAAUAAAAAUAAUCCCCUUGGUCUUGCAAGGAGGGGUCUACACAUAUUUUAAAAUUAAAUAAUUUUAAAUAUUAAUUAUGUAAAUGUAUGAAAUUAAACCAUCAUGGUACUAAGAAUAUUUCUAAAAAGUUUUAGAUGUUAUAUAUAUAUAUAUAUAUAUAUUUUAAAUUAUUAAAAAUAUUUAAAGGAAAUUUUCAAAAGAAAUUGAAAUUAAAAAAAAUUAUUAGAAAUUUUUAAUAAUUUUAAUUAUUUCGUAACAAAAACCUGUAAAAAUUAUUUUAAAGAAUUCAAUCAUUUAUAUUAUAAAUUUUGGUAUUUUUUAUAUGAAAAAGAUGUAUGUCUUUUAAGUCGUUGUUUUAUAACUUGAUUUAAUUUAUUUAUUACCUAAUAUUAUUCUUAGUUCUUAUAUCAAAAAGCUUAAAUUUUUUCAUGUUCUUUUGAAAGUGAUGACUAAAAUUUUCAUAAAUAUCAAAAUUAAUACCGCUUAAUUUUUUCCCUUUUUAAAUAACUAAAUAUAAGAUAAUUUAAAGUAAAGGUUUUUACUUUAUAAAAGCAGUUUAAAAGUAUUAUUUUUAUGAUUUAAUUAAAUCCAAUAAAAAGAAAAAAAAUUGAAUAAACAAGAAAAAAGAAAUACCAAUAUUAAAUGAGAUUUUUUUAUUUUUGGUUAUUUUAUUUCAAUUUUAAUAUUUUAUUAGUAAUUAAUGAUCAAUAUUAUUUUUUUGGUAAUCAUAUUUAGUUUUCAUUAUUUUAAAAAUUAAAUUUAUAUAUUUUUUGGUUUUUAUUUUCCUAAAAAAAUUUAACAUAUAAGGGAAUUUUUUUGUUUCUAGAAAAUCGAGGCUGGGGGGACACAUGGCCCCCUGAACCUUAGUCGGCUCCUCCGGUGACGACACGACUCAUUUUCUAGAAAAAAGUUACGUCCACUCCGUGGCCUGUCCAAGUUUUCCUUUUUUCCAUUAAAAAAUUGUGUGCUAUUAGAAGUCGAUAAGACUUGCAAAUUAACCCAAAACCACCAAGUGUCCAAGACACCAAAAGAUGGAGGGGCAUUUUGGUCAUUCUCCUUAGAAAUUUUCUUGAGCGGUUGGCAACUAUGACUUGGUCUCUGCGUGGUUGCGUGGUUGUAUGGAAAAUGAACCAUUAUAUAUAUAUAUAUAUAUAUAGCCUAGGUUUUGUGAGCAAAGGGUGUGCAUUGUAGCCAUGGCUAAAACUCUCCUCGUUUCACCUUUCUACUUCAUCUUCUUCAUCUUCCUCAUUUUUUCUUCUACCACAACUCCAGCUUUUGGAGAAGAAUACAGCUACGCCAAAAGUGUCAAUCCUAAAAAAAUGAAGAUGUUGAGGGAAAAGGUAAGUCAUUUUAAACUUUAUUGGCAGGAUGUUGUUAGCGGGUCUAAUGCAACCUCAGUCACAGUAAUUGAAGCAGUGAAUAACUCAUCAACAUCUUUUGGUAUGGUAAAUAUAUUUGAUAACUCGUUAACCAUUGGGCCAAAUUUGAGCUCAAAAACGGUUGGAAAGGCUCAAGGGCUUUACGCAUCUACGGGACAAGAAGAUACUUCAUUAUUGAUGAUUAUGAGUUUUGCAUUCACUGAUGGCAAGUACAAUGGUAGCACAUUCAUUGUGCUAGGACGGAACAAUAUAAAUGCUGAGGUAAGGGAGAUGCCAAUAAUCGGUGGCAGUGGACUUUUCCGAUUUGCUAGAGGCUAUGCUCUAGCAUCAACUUACAACGAUGGCGCCACCAUUGAAUACAAUUGUUAUGUCAUACAUUAUUGAUUUUUUUUUUUCUAAUUUUUAGUGGAGCUUUAGUUCACGAUAGUUAUAUACUUGAAUAAUUGUGUGUUCCCACCAUAGCUAAGUGAGAUUCUCUAGUUUUUCUUAAUUUGAAUAAAUUAGGUGGCUCUUACUUCACCUAGAUGAAUGUAAGCAUACUAUAAUAAAAUAAAAUAAAAUGCUUAUUUGUGUGGAUUAAUUACUUUCUUGAAAUUUGUUAAACCGUACAUUAUUCUAAAAAAAAAAAAUUGGAGAGAAGUAGAUUUAAAAGCUUAUAUCAACAAAGUUGAAGCGGUAUCACUUUUCUAUUCAACUUAAGCCCGUCUUUGUGGGUUGAUUUGAUAUGUUUGAUUUAUGACAUAUAUGACUUUUGAAUAUAAGGCUAAUUGGGUGAACUACCUUUGCUUUGUUUAAUAAGAAUGACAUAUUUCUUUGAUUUCACAUGACUUAAAUUAUCUUAACCAAACCAAAAUAUAUUCAACUUUCACUAAUUUUUAGUCAUAUAUUAUGAUAAUGAAGUGUGAACACGCUCAAAAAUUUGAGCAGCAUUCUCAUUUACAAAAAUGUUUUUAAGAAAUGUUUUGAUGAAAGUUAUAAAUUUUAUUUACCUUGACGUGAUACAUAAGUUGACUUUUUCUUUUAUUUCACUUAAGAUAUGAUUUAAUUGAACAUAUUUCAAAAGAAGAUAUGAUUCUUAAACAACAAUCUUUGCCCAUUAUUUACAAAUUCUACAAGGUCCAUAGCUAAGGUUUGAAUCAAAAUGGGCUAAAAAUUAAUGUCAUCUCAAUUUUGCUUCAUUUUUUAGACAAGCAAUCAUGACGGUGUUCAAUAAGUUCAUGUGUCUAUAACAAGCAAGCAACUAUAAUAGAAUAAGACCAUUUUUAUUUUUAUUUUUGCUAUUUGUAUGGUCCAAUAUGUUGCGCUCAUUACAAUUUGAGCCAUAGCCUAAUGGGCUUUUUACCCCAUGAUGUGGUUACCAAUUAAAAAUUGGACCUCAUUAGGGUUCACCAAGUAUAAAGCCCCUUUACCCUUGAAGAUUAAAUGGAGAUUAUUUGUCAUAGGUGAAAAGAGAGAGAGAGACUUAUAUUUAAACUUUUAAAUUGAAAGACCCUUGACCACUAAUUGUUAAUCUAAGUGAAUGAAAGAAAAAUCAAAUAACUCUCAUUUUGAGCAUUCAAGAGUAUCUUUUUUAGAAAAUUGAUAAAAUAAUAUGAUUAGAUAAUUUGGUUAGAAAAAAUAAUAUAUAUAUGAAAGGUUUGGUAUAUUGGUGCCAAACAAUACAUAAGAAAAUACUACAAUUAGAGAAAAAAGUUGGGAACAAUGCAUGUAUGUAUGUCACUAAUUUUUUAGUUAGGAAAACUUGUGUUUUGGGUCGGCCAUUUGCAAAUAAUAUGGUUUCCAAAACCCAAGAAUAGGAAAUCUAGGAAUCAGUUUGUUAAUAUGGAAAAUAAUAUUGUUUUGUGCACUCUAUGCUAACUUUUUUUUUUCUGUGCCCAAAUUGCCCUCACCCACUCUCCAUGUCAAUAGUCACAUUAACAAGUUGUUUCCAAAACAAAAAAAAUAAAAUACAAAAAAUACAAAAACAAAAAAUUAUGUUGUUUAAAAUUUUAGGGAAACUUCAUUUCUCUCAUUCACUUCCUUACCACACCCAAGACCCAUAUUCCCAAAACUUCUUCAUCUCAUUUUGCCCUAACCCCAAAUCUGAAAUAUCCCAACAUUUGAAAUCCGAAAACGAUUGAUUUUACAACAACUGAGGUUUUCCCUUCACCAUGAACCCCAAAUAGAAAACCCUAAUCUUGAAACCCAUAUUUUCUUUUUUCAUUAUCAAAGUUGAAUUUUUUUAAGGUUUCUAGAAACCAAACUGAAGUUUUCCCUUGUUUCAGAUGAAUCGAUCGCAAAUGAGUUUUCUGAGAAAAUAAAGGCUAGUAAGAAAAACACCUAAAAGGGGGGUGAAUUGGGUUUGUCAAAAACUUUUUCAACACAACUAAUUUAAGCACAAUAUAAGCAAAUAUAAAGAGAUAGAGUUAGAGAAUUCAAACUCAGAUUUUAUAGUGGUUCGACACUUUCUUACUUACGUCCACUUUCCUUAAGCUCCUAACCAAGUGAGAGUUCCACUAACUUGAAGCUUCAACCAAGUUUCUAAUCUUCUUUACACUUGGAUUCCGGCUCCAAUGGGUACUUACACAAUCUCUUCAAGAUUCAACACACUUGAAGACUCUAACACUCAAUUUACAAAAAUGAUUUUCUCUCAACCUAGAUCAAUAAUGACUCAAAUACAAAUCAAAGUUAAGAUGGCUCACAAGGGUGCACUAAAAGAUAUGCAAGUGAAGAUUUAAUGUACUAAGAAAUAAAUGAGAGCUUUUAAGGCAAGAACAAGUGGGUAGACAAUUGAAUGCAAGCGUUCUUUUCUACAUAAAUGAAGUGGAACUCUCAAUUUAUAGGUUUUUAAGCUCGGGAGCCAAGAAAAGCAAAAAGCAACCUUAACCGGUCGAGUUGGGGGUCAACCGGUUUACUAGCGAUUGUAACAUUUAAUACUUUGGCAGGUUACCGUUGCCUCGAUUGGACCUCGACUGGAGGUUGACCGGGAAAGAGGGUACCUCAACCGAGAAAGAAAGGCUAUUGGAUGAGAGAUAGUGUUUUUGACACUCCUCGACUGGACCUCAUCUGAUAAGGGCAACCGGUCGACCGAUUCCCUGGCCGAUUGAGUCGGUUGGUUUGUGUCUCGAUCAGUUCAGCCUUUUGGCCCCGAAAACCUAUCUUUUUCAGUUCUUUUCCUUUCUAACACUUAGGCAAGGUCUUUAGGUAAAUUAAUAUGUCAAUUUUGAAAUAUUUUGCCUCAGAUACAUUUGAUAAAACUCGGGUUUUAAUGAAAUUGUAACUUUAAAGAAUAAACUGAGUUUUCCAAAAAUGCAUAAAAAGAUAUGUAAAACCAUAGUGCACCCAUACAUUCAUCUUACAUUUGUUUCCUAUGAUUAAAAGUCUUCCAAAUGUCUCGAUCUUGUAUCCAUUUGGUCGUUUGAUGAAUUUCCAAAUUUAUACCUGAGAUUCUUUACAAUUCAAACCAAUUAGUCACUUAACCAUGGUUUGUUAUCAUCAAAAUUUGAUUAGGAGACCCCUUGGGCUAACAAUCUCCUAUUUUUUUAUGAUGACAAACCUUGGUUAUCUAGGAGAAGAAAAAAAUCUCUCCCUCAAACCAAUCAUGGAUCAAUCAAUCAAAAUUUACGAUGUUAAAACAAAGAUAAUGAAAACAUGCGAAUUUUCAAUAGGAAACGAUGUAAGUCGUGAAACAUAUAACAUAUCAUAUAUAUAGUAAAGUCAAAUGUACACGAAACAUAAACAUAUAAGCUAAUCCAAACAGAUGAUAUGACAAUGAUAUGCAUGAGUCUCCUAGAUACUAAAUAUCUCUCCCCCUUUUGGCAACAUAAAAAAGAAACGAAGGGAGAUCUCUAUGAAAUCAAGGUUGAGGAGGUGGAAGUGGAAACACGGAGUGUAGGUAAACCAUCAUCUACUCAUGUUGACUUUCCUGGUGACUCUCAAUAAGCUUUAUCCUCUGCUGGAGAUGUUUAAACACAGGUUGCUGCUGAUCUAUGCGAUUCUUCAUACGCUCAAAUCUCUGCUACAAAUACUCAAAAUGAAAUGUGAAGUCAGUCUUAUACUUAUCCAUGUGAUCCUCCAUAGAGUAGAAUCGAGUAUCACUAACUACUGCAAACUCCUCCAUGCGAGUGUCGAGAGAGCUAAUCUAAGCAGAUAAAUCCAUCCAAGGUGCAUGAUCAGGGGCGUGAGGUGCCUGAUGAGGUGAUGUCUCUGUGUAAGAAGGCUCAGUGAAAGAUGGCUGAGAAGAUGGUCCCGCUGUGUAAGCCAACUCAGAGAAUGUGGCUUCAAACUAAACACCCUCGGACUAGAGUGGAAGAAUGUCAAGCUCAGGCUCUCUCUACUCAAAGCCUCUCUAAGGGUCUAAUCCACCCUCCAUCUCUCGUAUCUCAGCCUCUUCCUCUACUCCAUGAUGCACAUGUCCCUGUCCCCAAGCCUGUGUUGGUGGUCUCUCUCCUAUCUUGAUCCAGGAACCAUCGGGGGCCUUCUCAAAUUUCAUUUGCCCCAAGGACUGCUCAUCAUAUGUGACGUAAAUGCUGGGAACCUCAAAAUUUGUCUCCCUGCUCAAAUCAACCCCAACAUCCUUGAACACUCUAGUGAGAAAGCGGUUAUAUGGGAGUACGCGGGUCAUGCUCUCACAACAUGAUAUCAUGUGCAUCAUCAUCAAACACCCCACGUGAAUCCAUCUCCCCGUCAAAAUGGAGUCCAUGAGGAAUGUGUCAAGGUAGGAGACCUCAUCUCGGUGUUUGCCUCAUGGCAGUAUGAUGAAGCAGAUCAUGUGGUGAAAUACUCAACUGAUCAUGGUCAGGCUAUGGGUCGAUGGUUUGCCCAUCCCCUGGGCGUCUGCAAGUCUGCAAAUCCUCUAAAUGGCCUUUCUAGGCUCGAAACCUGACACAGUGGGCCAAGCCUUGGACUCAGACACCCUGAGUUCAACUGGAGCAAUAUUGAAAAUGUGGCAGAUGUUCUCUGGGUCCAACUGAAUCUCAACUCCUCUAACGGUGGAAAUAAUCAGGUCACCAAGUCCAUAUGUAGCCCUCAAAUAGAACGCACGCACCAAAGUCGGGAAAAUAGGCUCUAAAAUCGUCACUACUGGCAGCCAACCCAUCCAACUGAAAAAGCUCUCAAACCCGAAAUGCUGUAGUUGGGAGAGAUUGAUGCUUCUCCCUGGAACUACUUUUCUCUUAGCGAACUUUUGCUUGUAACUCUGAUAAUCAUCCAUGGUGCUAAAAAGAGUAGUGUCAAACCUCGCCUUUCGGUAAACCUUCGUCUAAGCAAGCUGAGGCGACUCAAUUGGGUGUUUGCCCUGUGCCCUAAAGGCAGUCAAUUCUCUUUUAGGAGCCAUGAGAAGACGUGAGACACUGAAGAAAGAGCUAGUAAAGAGAGAAAUGAACACAAUCAAAAUCCCUAGGCGCGUGGAAAUGGAAAACAAGUCGAUUGUGACAUGCAGAAGCACUCCAAAGCCGAAACCCUAGCCUCCAAUUGUCCCAAAAAUCCAUUUCAAUGCCUGCAAUUGGUCCAAAAUCUUGCUCAAACUGGUCUCUGGAAGCAGAAAUGUGAAAAACCCUGAAGAAAUGAAGGAGAACAGUGGAGAAAACGAAGCGCGGAGGCUCUUUAAAUUCCCAACCCCGACGAACCGGCUGACCGGUCUUGGUUCAGUCAACCACCUGGUCAAUGGGUUUGACUUUUAACCUUUUGUGCAUUUUCUUGUCUCGUGGUCCUCCUCCUGCUCUUUUCAGUUGAAAUCCCCAAUUUUUUAUGCCCAAUGCCAAGGGAAUUUUGAUUUUUGGUUAAAAUUUUGACCAUUUAUCUAAGUAUAUGUUUAUAUGAUGCAAAUGACAUGAAAUUCAUGCAAUCAUAAGGAAUAUUCAUCAAGAAUUGAUUAAGCAAUCAUUAGAUCAUAAAGAAAUCACCCCUAGUUGUCUUCUAAUAUUAACAAAUUGUUCUUCACUUAGAGGUUUUGUAAAUAUAUCUAAAAGUUGAUAUUUUGUGCUUACAAAUUCAAGUGUUAUGCCAAUAUUUUGUGCAUGGUGUCUAAGAAAAUGAUAUUUAAACUCUAUAUGCUUAGUCUUAGAGUGUUGUACGGGAUUUUUUGAAAUAUUUAUGGCACUAGUGAUAUCACAUUUAAUAGGAACAUGCUCAAAAGAUAAAUCAAAAUCACUAAGUAUUUGAUGAAUUUCCAAAUUUAUACCUGAGAUUCUUUACAAUUCAAACUAAUUAGUCACUUAAUCAUGGUUUAUAUCAUCAAAAUCUGAUUAGGAGAACCCUUGGGCUAACAUUUUCCAUUUAAGGAUUUGUUUGGUUGUUGAUAAAGUCUUGGGGUCGAAGGUCUUUGUUUGAAGAAGACCCAAUUUUAGGGAUUGCAUGAGUUGGAAUUUCUUUUAUUUUGCUUCAUUUUCGCAUGAAUGAAAUAAAGGAUAAAUUUGUUUUGGUUAAAUAUAUGUUUGUAUUUGUAAAUAAAGUAGAAAAUUUUAUUUUCUUUCCAUGAUUUGUGUUAUCAUCAUAUUUGUAGGGAAAUUAGUUGAUCUAUAUUAUUGCUAGUUGAUGGAUUUUUUCUUUUAAUUUUAAUGGGAUAUAUGACAAUUAAUACUAGCAAAUAAAGAUAUGGGAAAGAUUCUAUGCUUGGUUGUUUUUAAUUGUAAUUGAUUUACUAAACUAGUUCAUGUUUGAUUUAAUAACAAAUUAAAUUAGUUCAUACUAUGUGAUGUAUUGUUGAUAACUUGUAUCUGCAUAUUUUGAUUCUUUGAUGGUUCGAUUUAUUGUUUGUAUGAAAUGUUCAAUGUUGCUUUAGUUUGUAGGAGGUGGAAUAAAAAUGUUUGAAAAAACUGACUAUAAGAAAUAGUGUAAAGGAUUUGCAUGAAUUGGUUGAGAGAAUGGAUAUGCAAAUGUGGAUUGCAUAUAUGUAUUAUGUUGGUGUGUAAGAGUCUUUGGUUAUUGUCUUGAACAAAGUAUGUUGUAUAUCACCUUAUUUAGUUACAUUUGCAUUCACUUACUGGUAUUUUAAUACACAUGUGUAAAAGAACAAAUAUAAAUUUAAUUAUGAAUGAACAUAAAUGUUAGCCCAAAGGUUCUCCUAAUCAAGUUUUGAUGAUAACAAAUCAUGAUUAAGUUACUAAUUGGUUUGAAUUAUAAAGAAUUUCAGGUAUUAAUUUGAAAUUUCAUCAAAUAACCUAAUGGAUGCAAGAUCAAGACUUUUGGAAGACCGUUAAUCAUAGGAAACAUAUGUAAGAUGAAUGCAUGGGUGCACUUAAGAUUUACAUAUCAUUUCAUGCAUCUUUGAAAAACUUAGUUUAUUCUUUAAAGUUACAGUUUCAUCAAAACCCUAGUUUUAUCAAAAGAAUCUUAGGCAAAUCACUUCAAAAUUGGAAUAUUAAUUUAUCUAAAGACCUUGCCUAAGUGUUAGAAGAGAAAAUACAAAAAAAAUAUAGGUUUUCGAGUCAAAAAUGGUGAACCGGUCAAGCCUCUGUCCAAACCGGCUCAAUCGGCCACGGUACCGGUCAGCCGGUUUCCUCUUCCUGAUCGAGGUCCGGUCGAGAGGAGCAAAAAACACUCUCUCUCUCUCUUCUAGUAGUCUUUCCUUCCCGGUCGAGGUCUAGUUGAGGGUAAUGGUCACCUGCCAAGUAUUAAAUGAUCCAACAACUAGUGAAUCGGUCGACUCCCAGCUCGACCGGUUGAGGUUGCUUUUUGGUUUUCUUGGUUCCCGAUAUUAGAAACCUAUAAAUAAAGAGCUUCACUUCAUUUAUGAGCAAGAGAACACCUACAUUUAUUUGCCCACCCACUUGUUCUUGCCUUAAAAGUUCUCAUUCUUUUCUUGGUGCAUUAAAUCUCCAUUUGCAUACUCUUUAGUGCACCUUUGUGAUUCAUCCUAACCUUGAGUUGUAUUUGAGCCUUUGUUAAGCUAGGUUGAAAGAUUCAUACUUGUUAAUUAAGUGUUAAAGCCUUCAAGUGAAUUGAAACUUAAAGAGAUUGUGUAAGAGCCUAUUGGAGCCAGAAUUCAAGUGUAAAGGUGAUUAGAAGCUUGGUUGAAGCUUCAAGUUAGUGGAACUCUUACUUGGUUAAGAGCUUGAGGAGAGUGAACGUAGGCAAGGAAGUGUUGAACCACUAUAAAAUCUGAGUUUGAUUUCUCUAACCUUAUCUCUUUAUUUUUGUUUCUCUUGUGCUUAAAUUUGUUGUGUUUAAAAAGAAUUUUUAAAAACUCAAUUCACCCCCUCUCUUGGAUGUUUUUCUCUUUUAAGAUUAGCCUUUAUCUUCUCAAUAAGUUAUAUAGAAAUGGUGACAGAUAUUUCAUAUUUGGAUGUGAUAUCAUAUUGGAAUUUGUUGUUAAGAAAAAUAAGAGCAUGUUUGAAAUGAAUGUGAUUUAGUGCUUUUUUUGUUUUGGGGAAAGUAUGUUUUGGAUUGGAGAUGUGAAUAUGAAUAGGAUUUCUGAAGCUAAGAUGGUCGAAAUUGAAGAAAAAUAUGCUUCGGUCGAAAGUUAUUACAUAUUGGGCAGUUAUUUGUUUUUGUAGGUUAGUCUUUUGUUAAUCUUAGGUUCUACCUUCAUUAAACUUUGGUACUACUUUUAUUAAAUGAUCGCUCAGAUUUUUUGUCGUUUGUUGGAUCAAAACAAAAUUUAUAACCUAAUUCACUCUUCUAUAGCAAUUUGUACCUGAUCAAAAAUUGGCUUUAGUACAAACUACUGUAGCAUAGUGGUUUUUAGGUAUCGUCCACAAGGAUGGAUUAUUCUUGGUGAUUAAGGCUUGAAUGAGAUGAUAAGAAGUGAUUGUGAAAAAGUGAAAUCAACUUGAAAUUGCAUGAUAAAAUUCCAAAUUAACAAUGUAUUCAAAUUGAAUUGAAAAUGAAGUUUAAAAGAGAAGAAAAUUUAUAAGAGGUGAGAUUCUCGGAGUUAGGAUUUUCUAGAGAGCAAUUUCCAUGGUGAAUGGGUGUUAAGAUCUAAUUUUCAUCAAGUUAGAUUGAAAACCUAAAUUUUCAUCUAAACCGAUUUUUGAUUUAACUUUAGAUCUAGAUCUAAUUUCUCUUCAAAUUAGGUAAUCUAAUCUAAGAGAUCAAUUUGAAUCAUAUAUUCAAUUCAUCUUAAAUUAUCUUCCAAUGAUUUCACACNNNNNNNNNNNNNNNNNNNNNNNNNNNNNNNNNNNNNNNNNNNNNNNNNNNNNNNNNNNNNNNNNNNNNNNNNNNNNNNNNNNNNNNNNNNNNNNNNNNNNNNNNNNNNNNNNNNNNNNNNNNNNNNNNNNNNNNNNNNNNNNNNNNNNNNNNNNNNNNNNNNNNNNNNNNNNNNNNNNNNNNNNNNNNNNGUCUUCCGGAUGCUUCUUCAUCAAGGAAUCUGGAGAGAAUGCCCUUUCGCACGAGCCCCAAGUGAUCCCGCAUGAUGGUGCGAAGUGAAGAAUCAAUCAGCUGGAAUUUCGUUCUUCUGGAGCGUUUCGCAUGACUGUGCGAAAAUUUCGCAUGGUCAUGCGAAAUCACUUCUUCACAAUUUCCUCAUAUGCUGCAGCCAUACUCUCUCUGUUUCAUUUCGCAUGAUUGUGCGAAAAUUUCGCAUGGUCAUGCGAAAUCGAAAAUCAUGCUAUUCCGGUUCUUCUUUGCAAAUUCUCUCAUUUGUUCAUGUUUAAUCCAUCUCCACCACCUUCAAUUAAGCUCCAAAGCUUGGUCCAAGUGCAUUUCCUCUUCCUCUUCAUCCACAUUAUGUAUCCUCCUCCGUUCCAUUUUCCAUUUGUCACUCCAUGCUUCAAAAAUCACCUUAAAAUAUCUCCAAAACUCAACAAAGAACCAUUAGAAUCUCUUGCAAGGGUAGCAAUGUAUUACUUGGGCAUAUUAGGCAUAAUUACUACUCAAAAGGUGUGAAACUCAUGAAAGUUAGUAUCUAAAAUAUGUGGUUUUUGAGUAGUAAUCAUUAAACUUAAGGACUACCUUUAUUUAACUUAGGUACUACCUUUAUUAAACUUAGGUACUAUCUUAAUGCACCUUAGAUACUACCUUAAUCUACUUUAGGUACUAUCUUAAUGCAACUUAGGUACUAUUUAAAUGCAAACCUUAGGUACCACUUGGAUGUACACCUUAGAUACUUCUUGGAUGUACACCUUAGGUACUCCCUUAAUGCAAACCUAAGCUAAUCUUAUCUACUAUCUUAAUUGAGCUUAGGUACUUCAUUCGUGGAGUAUAGGUACUUGAUUUGUGGAUCAUAUGUGCUUAAUUUGUUAACCUCGUGUAGUUCAUUUGUCAAUCUUAGGUACUACCCUUCUCAAUCAUAGGACCUAGUUUUGGCAUUGGUACUAGCUUGGAAUCCAUAGUUUGAAGACAAAUUGAGAAAUAUGGAACUUUCAAACUCAAUACACAAAUUGUUUAAUUGCAUUUUAUAUAUGAGCAUAACAUUAUUAUGUUGUACUAGGUUAGUGAGUUGGUUGGCCUUAAACGUGACAUUACUAUGAUGAAAUCUAUAGUUUAUAGGGUUGAUUUUCUUUUAAGGAUGAAUCAUGUAAAGGUGUGGUAUUAAAAAAAAUAUAGAUUUUUUAAAGAAUUUUCACAAAAUAAAUCAAGAAAUAUGCACUCAAAUAGUAAUGUUGUUAAAAUUCUAAAAGUGUCCCCUCAAGUAUUUUCUCUUCGACCAGCUAAUCCAUUUGUUUUGUUUUGCUUUGUUUUUCCUUUUUUAUUUUUAAACCUUCAUAUGAUAAGUGAAGAUAACUUCAUGAUGUUUAUCAAAUUGACACAUGGCUAAUUAAUAUGGCAUAUUAUUUUCCUUUUUUUUCUUCUUCUUCAUUUUACCUAUAAAAUAAUGCACAUUUUUUUAAUAUGUUAGUUACACAUUGUUAUAAAAUCUUUUUAAUUUCAUUUUUUUUUUCACUUUUUCAUCUUUUCAUAUUUAUUAAUUAUAAUUAUUUAUAAACACUUUAAAUAUAAAAUAAUAAUAAUAUAUGAUAAAUAAUUAAUGAAGAAAUUAAUAUAAAAAUAAAUACAAAAUGAACAAAUUUAGAGGUUUAGAAUAUAAGAUUUUAUAUAUUCAUGUUAAAUAAAAUACUUAUUUUUUUGAUAAAUCUUAUCAUAUAUAGAUUAAAAAAUAUCUUUGUCGUUUUAUUUUAUUGUUUAUCUUUUUUAAUUUUUAAAUUUUCAUGUGAAAAUAAAAAUCAAUUGUCAUGAUUUUUAACUUUUUGCUUAUGAUUCUUACUUAAUUGUAAUUUUAACUUUUUUUUUUCUUAGUUAAAAUGUUUAAUAUUUUUCAUUAAAGAAGAUAAACUUGAUUGUGAUUUUAACAUUUUGUUUUGUUAAAAUUUUUAAUUUUUAAUUUAUAAAAAAUAAAAAAAUUUAAAAGCUGUAUUUAAUCAUUUAUAUUAAUUUCUAUCAAUUCUAUAUAAAAUAAAAAUAUUUUUUUUAUAAAAAAUUAUAUUUAGUUAUUUAUAUUAAUUUUCUCUUAAUUUUAUUAAAAAUUAAAAUUUUUGCAUACUAAAAUUAUGUAUUAAUAAACACAACUUUUGAAAAAUAGAGUAUCAUUCUUUUAUAUACUUAUUUCAUACGGAGUGGUACUCUUUUUGUACCAUUUUUCUAAUAGUUGUGUUGACCAAUACAUAAUUUCAGUAAAAUAAAAUUAAUAUAAAUUAUUAUAUACAAUUUUUUAUAAAAAAAAAUAUUUUUUAUUUUUAAAUUUAUAUAAAUUAAAAAUUAAAAAUUUUAAUAAAACAAAAUGUUAUAACUACACCAAAUUUUUGUCUUUUUUAAUUAAAAGACAUUAAGCAUUUUAGUAAAGAAAAAAAAAUUAAAACCUAGAUGCUAAAUCUCUAUAUUUGUUCAUCAUAUAUUUAUUUUUAUAUUAAAUUUGUUCUCACUAAAUAUUUAUUACAUGUUAUUAUUUUAUUUUUAAAAUAUCAAUAAAUAAUUAAAAUCCUAAAUAUGAAAAAUGAGAUAAAAAUAAAAUAAAAUUGAAAUGACAUCCUAAUGCCAACACAUUUAAAAAACAAUCAAAUAAAAUGGAAGAUACAGAUAUUACAGAGGUAGGGAAAAAGAAAAAAAAAUGAUGUGGUAUGGCUGAUUCCCAAGCGUCAAAUUUUUUGUUUAAAACAAAACAAUAAUAAUGACAAGCUCUUUGAAUUGUUGCGUGUCAAACUAAAACUAAAAAAAUAAAAAAUAAAAAAACUUUCAUAAUUGGCGGCUCAUGAGGAUUUUCUGAAACUGAUAUUUUUUUUUUAAAUGGCACACGUGUAACAUGACUCUCCCUUUUAUAAUGCUUCUGUCUCUCUCUCUCUCUCUCUCUCUCUCUCUCUCUCUCUCAUUCUAUGAUGGAAUUUAUAGUCGGUUGAUUUUUUUAAUGCCCAUGAGCAGCUGAUUUUUGAGGUAAUUGAAUAUUAAUGGCUGUGAGACCCAUUCUCAUAUGGUCUCUCUCUCUCUCUCAUAUUCUAGAUAGAAUCUAUAGUCUAUAGGGUUGAUUUUUUUUAAUGGUUGUGGGUUGCUGAUUUUUGAAGGAAAGUGAUUAAAUAUUAAUGGUCGUGAGACAGUCCCAUUUGGUCUCUCUCUCCCGCUCUCUCUCUCACAUUCUAUGAUAGGAUCUAUAGUCUAUGGGGUUGAUUUUUUUAAUGCCCAUGAGGAGAUGAUUUUUUAUGGAAAGUAAUUGAAUAUUAACGAUUGUGAGACCAAUUCUCAUAUGGUCUGCCUCUCCCUCUCUCUCUCUCUCUCUCUCUCUCUCUCUCUCUCUCUCUCUCUCUCUCUCUCUCUCUCUCUCUCUCCCCCUAUGAUAGACUUUAUAGUCAGUAGGGUCGAUUUUUUUUUAAUUGCCCUGAGCAGCUGAUUUUUCUAGGAAAGUGACAGAAUAUUAAUGGUUGUGAGACCAUUCUCAUAUGUUCUCUCUCUAUUUCACCCCCUCUCUAUAGUCUAUAGGGUUGAUUAUUUAUUUAUUUUUUAUGCCCAUGAGCCAUCGGCAGCUGAUUUUUGAAGGAAAGUAGUUGAGUAGUAAUGGGUUGGGACUUGUGAGACCCAUAAAUGUAGAAAGGAAUUCAAAAUCCUAAUAAAAAUGUAUUUCAAUGAAUAAUGAGUUUUUAAUUCAUAUUCUCAUGUUUAAUAAUUAAUUCACAUAAAAAAAACAAAUUAAAAGUGAAAUAGAUUUUUUAAUUUCAUUUUUUUGCUUCAAUGUCUCAAAGAUAUAUAAAAUAUGAGGAUUAUUCUCAUAUAUUUGAAAGGUUUACAAAAUGAUUCUAAAAAAAUAAUUUUUUUAAAAAUAUUCAAAAACAAGAAACUUGAUAAUUCAAUUUAAUUGCUUAAUUUAAAUUAUUAAAUAUAUUUAAUAAAAUAAUUUAAUGUUAAAAUUAUUUUUAUUUUUUAAUAUUAAAUUAAAAUAAUUAACUAAUACAAUUUCAAAGCCUUUUUACCUCAUUUUCCUCUACCAAUGUAAAAUAAUUAACAUAUACAUCAGACCUACCUUGACUCACAAGUUUGCCUUUUAAGUCUCCUUAUUUCCUGAUUUUAUUUAUUUAUACUUUAAUCUCAUUCUUUCUACUUAUAUCUAAAAGGUCUAAAUUUUUCUUUAUACUUUUAAAAAUGAGGAUUAAAAUUUCCAUAAAUACUAAAAUUCAUACUUUUUUUUUCUUUUUUCAAAUAACUAAAUAUUAGAUAAUUGAAAGUAAAUUCUUUUGGUCAAAACUUAUGUCUCAUAUAAUAAGUCAUUACAACAACAAUUUAAAAGUAUUAUUUUUUAUGAUUUAAUCAAGUAGAAUAAAAAAUUAAGUAUAAAAAAGGGAAAAUGUUGAAUAAACAAGAAGAAAGAAAUACCAAUAUUAAAUGAGAUUUUUUUUAUUUUAGUUUAAUUUUAAUAUUUUAUUAGUAAUUAAUGGUCAAUUUUUUUAUUUUUUUUUUGUAAUAAUAUUUAGUUGUCAUUAUUUUGAAAAUUAAAUUUACAUUUUUUUAGAGGGGGCAAAUUUUCUAUUUUGGUUUCUACUUUCCUAAAAAAGGUUUCACAUAUAAGGGAACUUUUUUGUUUCUAGAAUAUUGAAGGGGGGGGGACACGUGACCCCCUGAGUUGGGACAGAACUCGUUUUCUAGAAAAAGUUGGGCCCAACUAUGCCGUCGUCUUUCAAUGUUUUUUCCUUCUUUCCAUUUAAAAAACAAUGCGUGCUAUUACAAGUCGAUAAGACUUGCAUUUUGGUCAUUCUCGUUAGAAAAUCCCCCCUUUGUGUUUUGUCUUUGAGUGGUUGGCAACUACGACUUGGUCUUUGCGCAGUUGGUAAGUAUGACGCCUUGGAAAUUAGAAAAAUAUUAUUGUACGGAAAAUGAAACAUUCAAUAUAUGUAUAUAUAGCCUAGGUGUUCUGAGCAAAUGUAGAUAACUCAGGUUUUGUGAGCAAAGGCAUAUCAUAACUCAAGUUUUGUGAGCAAAGGGUGUGCACUGUAGCCAUGGCUAAAGCUCUCCUCGUUUCACCUUCCUACUUCAUCUUCUUCAUCUUCCUCAUUUUCUCUUCUGCCACAGUUUCAAUUUUCGGAGAAGAAUACAGCUAUGUCAAAAGUAUCAAUCCUAAGAAAAUGAAUAUGUUGAAGGAAAAGGUAACACACUUUCAACUUUAUUGGCAAGAUGUUGUUAGUGGGUCUAAUGCAACAUCGGUUACAGUGCUUGAAGAAGUGAAUAACUCGUCAACAUUGUUUGGUUCGGUUAGUAUAAUUGAUAACUCGUUAACCGUUGGGCCAAAUUUGAGCUCAAAAACGGUUGGAAAGUCCCAAGGGUUAUACGCAUCUACGGGACUAGAAGAAACUUCAUUAUUGAUGGUUAUGAAUUUUGCAUUCACUGAUGGCAAGUACAACGGUAGCACAUUCACCGUGGUAGGACGGAACAAUGUAAAUGCUAAGGUGAGGGAGAUGCCAAUAAUCGGUGGUAGUGGGCUUUUCCGAUUUGCUAGAGGCUAUGUUCUAGCAUCAACUUACUCAUUCAGCGACAACGGAGAUGGCACUAUUGAAUACAAUUGUUAUGUUAUACAUUAUUGAUAUUUUUUAUCUUUUUCUAGUUUUUUCAUGGAGCUUUGGUCCACAAUAGUGAUAUACUUAAAUAAUUGUGUGUUCCCACUAUAACUAAGUGAGAUUAUCUAGUUUUGUUUAAUUUGAAUAAAGGUGACUCUUCACCUAAUUUAAUGUAAGCAUAUUAUAAUAAAAUAAAAUGCUUAUUUGCGUGCUUAAUUACUUUCUUGAAAUUUGUUAAACUAUACUUUAUUCUUAAAAAAUAAAAAAAAUAUUGGAGAGAAGUAGAUUUCAAAGCUCAUAUCAACAAAGUUGAAAUGGUAUCACUUUUCUAUUCAACUUAGCCACUUUUUGUGAGUUGAUUUGAUAUGUUUAAAUUUUCACACAUAUAGCUUUUGAAUAUAAGGCUAAUUGGGUGGACUACCUUUACUUUGUUUAAUAAGAAUGACAUAUGUCUUUGAUUUCACAUGACUCAAAUUGUUUUAACCAAACUAAAAUAUAUUCAACAUCCACUAAUUUUUAGUCAUAUAUAAUGAUAAUGAAGUUAGGAAAAAAAAAACUAAAAAAUUUGAGCAACAUUCCCAUUUAUAAAAAUGUUUUGAUGAAAAUUAUAAAUUUUAUUACUUUGACAUGAUACAUAAGUUUAACUUUUUCUUUUGUUUCAUCUAAGAUAUGAUUUAAUUGAAAAUAUUUGAAAAGAAGAUAGGAUUCUUAAACAACAACCUUUUCCCAUUAUUUACAAAUUCUACAAGGUCCAUAGCUAGGGUUUGGAUCAAAAUGGCUAAAAAUUAAUGUCAUCUCAAUUUGGUUCAUUUUUUAGAUAAGCAAUCAUGAUGAUGUUGAAUAAGUUCUUGUGUCCAUAACAAGCAAGCAACUAUAAUGGAACAAGACCAUUUGUAUUUUUUGUUGCCAUUUGUAUGGUCCAAUAUCUUGGGCCCAUCACAUUUUGAGCCAUAGCCUAAUGGGCUUUUCACCCCAUGAUGUGGUUACCAAUUAAAAAUUGGACCUCAUUAGGGUUCACCAAAUUUAAAGCCCCUUAAGACCCUUGAAGAUUAAGUGGAAAUAACCAUUUGUCACAAAUGAAAAGUGAGAUAGAAACUUAUAUUUAAAAUUUUAAAUGGAAAGACCCUUGAACACUGAUUUUUAAUGUUAGUGAAUGAAAGAAAAAUCAAAUAACUCUCAUUUCAAGCAUUUAAGAGUACCAUCUCCUAGAAAACUGAUAAAAUAACCCUAUUAGAUAAUUUGGUUAGAAAAAAGAAAAUAUGAAGGGUCUGAUAUAUCAUUGUCAAACAACGCAUAAAAAAAAAACUAUAAAAGGACGAAUUUUCAUUGUAGGAUAAAGGAGAAUUUCUUAUUUUCAAUAAAUAAAAAAAUUUAAAAGUUUUGCAGCUUCAAUAAGUUCUAAUAAAUUUUAUCUUUUAUAUAUAAAUUAUUAUUAUUAUUAUUUUAUGAUUUUAAAAAAAUAUAUGAAAUAUGUUCAAAUGGGUAUUUAAUUAUAAAUAAAUGAUAACUAUUCUACUAUUUCUCUAAUACAAAAAUUAAAAAAAAACUAUUUGAAUAUUUUUAAAUGAAUUUCACAUUCAAAAAACUUUAAAUCAUUUUUUUUUUCUCUUCUUGGUUGUGAAAUAGUAGAUGAUGAAAAAUUAACCAUAAAUGAUUAAUUAUCAUCAUAAGUUUAAUCUUUAUCAAUUAUCCUUGUCCUAUUAAAGCAAGGUGACAAGUUGAAUUAAUGUGAUUAGGUUUAUGUAAGUUCAAAUCAAUUGUCCUCAUCCUUGUAUGAAAGUCAUGGACUCAUGGCAUGCGGCUAUAGCCCAUUGAAGGUAUAGAAGUAGUGUUAUUAAAGAUCAAACUUUAAGUAAAAAAAUUUUAAAGUAUUUUUUAAUAUUUUAUGGGAUACUAUUUUUAAAAAAUAAUAUUAAUUAAAUAAAAAAUCCUAACACUAAAACCCUGUAGAAAGAAGUUGGGAACAAUGCAUGCAUGUGCAUGUAUUUCAUGAGUUAUCUCUGAGUAUUGCCAUCCGUUGCCACUAAUUUUUUAGUCACCCUUUUUUCCCCUGAGAGAAUGGAGUGGAUGCCUUGGUGGAGCCUGUUUGCCAUCCAAAUGGGAGAUUGAAAUGCCUCUCUAUCCCCACCUGCUGCAGCAUCUCUCUCUCUCUCUCAUAUUCUAUGAUGGAAUCUUUAGUCUAUAAGGUUGAUUUUUUGAAUGCCCAUUACCAGCUGAUUUUUGAAGGAAAGGAAUUGAAUAUUAAUUCUCAUAUGGUCUCUCUCUCUUUCAUAUUCUUUGAAGAAUCUAUAAUCUAUAGAGUUGAUCACUUUUAAAUGCCCAUGAGCAGCUGAUUUUUGAAGGAAAGUGAUUGAAUAUUAAUGGCUGUGAGACCCAUUCUCAUAUCUUCUCUCUCCCUCUCCCCCUUUCUCUCUCAUAUUCUAUGAUAGAAUCCACAGUCAAUAGGAUUGAUUUUUUUUUUUUUUAAUGCCCAUGAGCAGCUGAUUUUUGAAGGAAAGUGAUUGAAUAUUAAUGGUUGUGAGACCCAUGCACUCUCAUAUGUUCUCUUUAUCUCCCCCUCUCUCUCAUAUUAUAUUAUAGAAUCUAUAAUCUAUAGGGUUGAUUUUUUUUAAUGCCCAUGAGCAGCUGAUUUUUGAAGGAAGGUGGUUGAAUCUUAAUGGGUUGUGAGACCCAUUAAUGUAGAGAGGAACUCAAAAUCCUAAUAAAAAUGUAAUUCAAUUAAUGAUGGGUUUUUAAUUCAUAUUCUCAUUUUUAAUAAUUAAUUCAAAUAAAAUAACAAAUUAAAAGUAAAAUAGAUUUUUUAAUUUCAUUUUUUGUUUCAAUGUCUCAAACAUAUGUAAAAGAUAUGAUGAUUAUUUUUAAGGUUUAUAAAACAAUUCUAAAAAAAGUAGAUUUUUAAAAAAUAUUUAAAAGUAAGGUGUUUGAUAAAUCAACUUAAUUACUUAAUUUUAAUUAUUAAAUAAAUAAAAUAUAUUUUAUAAAAUAAUUUAAUAUUAAAAUUAUUUUUUAUUUUUAAUAUUAAAUUAAAUAAUUAAUUUAUAUUUAAUUUCAAAACCUUUUCACCUCAUUUUUCCGUACCCAUGUAAACUAAUUAACAUAAAUACCGGACCUACUUGGGUCACAAGUUUGAAUGGUAAAAUGACAAUUUUAUCCAAUAGGAUGAAGGGUUUUGGCCCCCACAAUAAACCCUAGGGCCUACUUUGAUGGCGGCUGCCACCGUGGAGCCAGACACUUUUGUUAGGUGGGGCAUCAAGAGAAUUAUUAAUAUAUUAUAGUUAAGGUAAUUAAUAAUAUUUAUUAUUAUUAUUAAAAUUAAAUAAUUUUAAAUAUUAAUUAUUAAAAUGUAUGAAAUUAAACCAUCAUAAUACUAAAAAUAUUUUUUAAAAAAAGUUAGAUUAUAUAUAUAUAUAUAUAUAUAUAUAUAUAUAUCAAGAACAUUUAAAAGGAAAUUUCAAAAGAAACAAAAACUAGAAAAAAAAUCAUUAGAAAUUCUGAAUAAUUUUAAUUAUUUUGUAGCAAAAACCCUUAAAAGUUAUUUUUUAAAAAUUUAAGUACUUAUAUUAUAAAUUUUGAUAUCUUCGUGGAAAAUAUGUGCGUCUUUAAAUAUGAUAAUAGGACAAGGACAAUUGACAAAGAUUAAACUUAUGAUGAUAAUUAAUCAUUUAUGUCCAACUAGUCCAUGGUCUUUCCAAGUUUUCCUUCUUUCCAUUCAAAAACGGCAUGCUAUUACUAGUCGAUAGGACAUACAAAUUACCCAAAACCACCAAGUGCUCAAGGCAACUGGAGGGGCAUUUUGGUCAUUCUCGUUAGAAAUUUUCCCCAUUGUGAUGUGUCUUUGACUGGUUGGCAUCUAGGACUUGGUCUUUGCGCAGUUGGUAACUAUGACGGCUUGGAAAUUGGAAAAUAUUAUUGUACCGAAAAUGAAACAUUCAAUGUGUAUAUAUAGCCUAGGUUUUGUGAGCAAAUGUAUAUGACUCAAGUUUUGUGAGCAAAGGUAUAUCAUAACUCAGGUUUUGUGAGCAAAGGGUGUGCACUGUAGCCAUGGCUAAAGCUCUCCUCAUUUCACCUUCCUACUUCAUCUUCUUCAUCUUCUUCGUUUUCUCUUAUGCCACAAUCCCAGUUUUCGGAGAAGAAUAUAGCUAUGUCAAAACUGUUGAUUUUGAGAAAAUGAAUCUACCGAAGGAAAAGGUAACACACUUUCAACUUUAUUGGCAAGAUGUUGUUAGUGGGUCCAAUGCAACCUCUGUCACAGUGAUUCAACCAGUGAAUAACUCGUUACCAUUUUUUGGUAUGGUAAAUAUAAUUGAUAACUCAUUAACCGUUGGGCCAAAUUUGAGCUCAAAAACAGUUGGAAAGGCCCAAGGGCUUUAUGCAUCUACGGGACAAAAAGAAUCUUCAUUAUUGAUGGUUAUGAAUUUUGCAUUUACUGAUGGCAAAUACAAUGGUAGCACAUUCACCGUGGUAGGACGAAA
Molecule: long non-coding RNA, 35937 nt
Filed under: Vitis vinifera (wine grape)
Lineage: Eukaryota; Viridiplantae; Streptophyta; Magnoliopsida; Vitales; Vitaceae
Description: long non-coding RNA (VVIN_LNC001660)
Source: RNAcentral